RNAcentral lists this non-coding RNA (21 nucleotides) under Caenorhabditis elegans. The record is from RNAcentral. Lineage: Eukaryota; Metazoa; Nematoda; Chromadorea; Rhabditida; Rhabditidae.
CUCAAGCUUGCUCCAAAAAUU